This is a long non-coding RNA of Carassius gibelio (silver crucian carp), 1137 nucleotides long. RefSeq lists it as uncharacterized. The record is from RefSeq and is a predicted model, not a curated record. NCBI's taxonomy places the organism in Eukaryota, Metazoa, Chordata, Actinopteri, Cypriniformes, Cyprinidae. The transcript has 4 exons.
GGAUCAUACGAGUAACCCCAGAGUGCAGUCUGGACGAUGGGGCGGGGCGACACUUCGAGGCGGAGCGACACGUGUCGCCCCGCCCAUAUUUGUUUUCCCCGCCUUUGACAUUUUCCUCCGAGCCAGCAGGGGGCAGUUUGCGUUGAAACAAACAGAACGGUGGCAACUACAGCAGCAGAGUAAUAACGCUAUUCCGUUGAUUGCUUCAGGUGAGUAAAAGUGGUUGUGUAAAUAUCUUAUAAUAUGAAAUGCGAUGUUCGAUCAUUUAUUUAUCCAUGGUACGUUCAAUUUGAAUAAUUAUUGUUAAUAAUUGUUAUAAAUUGCAAAUUUUAUUGUUCUUUGUGGAUUGUAACAGUACACUCUGUACAUGGCUUUAGUUCAUAGGUUCGAUUUUACAGAGGAUGACAUGAUCAGGAGGUGGUGGUGUUCUGUUCUCCUGGACAGCUUUACUCCGCAAAUAGCUCAACCACUGAGGGGAGGAACUUCACCAUUCACCAUGUCUUCAGGCAGAGUCCAGCAAAGCAGCUUCCCCUGGAAAUCCUCAGGGAAGUUAUUUUGUCGGCGGGUGACUCUGCAUAUUUGACACUUUCUCUGGUUUGCAGAUGGUUUAGGGAUGUGCUCCGAAGUUUUUCGGAAAGCGGCACAGUUUGUCUGGCUAGACAGUAAGAUUUCCCCGUUUAAUGCUCAUUCUCCAAUUGAAUUUUGUAGUAGAAGGCUGUUAAACUUUUUUUGUAUUAUUAUUAUAAUUAUCUUUCAUGUAUUUUGUCUUUACACUAUAAGUUGUGGCCAACUGGAAGAAUUGUCCUCGUGUCUCCUGACCGGAACGAGUUCAGAUGGAUGUACAGCAUCAGGGAAUGCUUGCAGUGCAGAGCCCUUUUCAAGUUUAACCCACCAGGGUACAGGGAAGAGACUGGCGUGGUGAUCUUCUGGGCUUUUGUUUACACAGGAUUUUGUUCCAAGGACUGUUUUUUAUUUUUUAUUUUUAUUUUUUGCGGCAUGAAACACAUUUGUGUGUUAAAUUCAUUGAAGGGAAAUAGAGAAUGGACUGAGAUCAACUGGUUUUGAUGUAUUAAUUGAUGUCAUUUAAAGUUAAACUUUGCAGUGUAUAAUGUUUUAAUAAAAAAGCUAUGGAAAACA